Molecule: ribosomal RNA, 301 nt
Filed under: uncultured bacterium
Lineage: Bacteria
Description: partial 16S ribosomal RNA
Rfam family: Bacterial small subunit ribosomal RNA
Source: RNAcentral
CAGUCGCCGCGGUAAGACAGAGGAUGCAAGCGUUAUCCGGAAUUAUUGGGCGUAAAGGGCUCGCAGGCGGUUUCUUAAGUCUGAUGUGAAAGCCCCCGGCUCAACCGGGGAGGGUCAUUGGAAACUGGGAGACUUGAGUGCAGAAGAGGAGAGUGGAAUUCCACGUGUAGCGGUGAAAUGCGUAGAGAUGUGGAGGAACACCAGUGGCGAAGGCGACUCUCUGGUCUGUAACGGACGCUGAGGAGCGAAAGCGUGGGGAGCGAACAGGAUUAGAUACCCCGGUAGUCCCUGUCUCUUAUAC